GAUGAACGCUAGCUACAGGCUUAACACAUGCAAGUCGCGGGGUAACAUCUGGGAGAGCUUGCUCUUCCAGGAUGACGACCGGCGCACGGGUGAGUAACGCGUAUCCAACCUGGCCCAUACCACGGGAUAGCCCGUCGAAAGGCGGAUUAAUACCGUAUGCUGUCAUUAAGAGGCAUUUUUUGAUGACGAAAGGAUUGGCGGUAUGGGAUGGGGAUGCGUCUGAUUAGCUUGUUGGCGGGGUAACGGCCCACCAAGGCGACGAUCAGUAGGGGUUCUGAGAGGAAGGUCCCCCACAUUGGGAACUGAGACACGGUCCAAACUCCUACGGGAGGCAGCAGUGAGGAAUAUUGGUCAAUGGGCGCAAGCCUGAACCAGCCAAGUAGCGUGAGGGAAGACUGCCCUACGGGUUGUAAACCUCUUUUGUUUGGGAAUAAAGUGCGGGACGUGUCCCGCAUUGCAUGUACCAUUUGAAUAAGGACCGGCUAAUUCCGUG
Molecule: ribosomal RNA, 493 nt
Filed under: uncultured bacterium
Lineage: Bacteria
Description: bacterial SSU rRNA
Rfam family: Bacterial small subunit ribosomal RNA
Source: RNAcentral